RNAcentral lists this ribosomal RNA (360 nucleotides) under uncultured eukaryote. RNAcentral describes it as "partial 18S ribosomal RNA". It matches the Rfam family "Eukaryotic small subunit ribosomal RNA", at positions 592 to 976 of the family's 1831-position model. The record is from RNAcentral.
CAAUAGCAUAUAUUAACGUUGUUGCAGUUGAAAAGCUCGUAGUUGAACUUUUGGUAGGAGCGACCUGGCCUUGGGCGCAUGCCCUUGUUUGCCGUGUGUCGUAUCUGGCCAUCCUUUUCCGUUUCGGCGGGAAUCUUUUACUGUGAGUAAACUGGAGUGCUCAAAACAAGACGUUUGUUUGGUACAUUAAAGCAUGGAAUAAUAAGAUAGGACCUAGUUACUAUUUUGUUGGUUUGCAUAGCUAGGUAAUGAUUAACAGGGACAGUUGGGGGUAUUCGUAUUUAAUUGUCAGAGGUGAAAUUCUUGGAUUUAUGAAAGACGAACGACUGCGAAAGCAUUUACCAAGGAUGUUUUCAUUAA